GCGUCAAAAGCUGCAUCAAACUGUAUAAUGUCCUCCGUUUUCUCCUUCCUUUGUCCCUGUAGUCUGGUGAUCUUCAAGGUGCGUUUUCCCUGUUCCACUGCUUCAAGUUCAGCUAAAUAAGUCUGUAUUUUCUGUACUAGAUCUCUUCCUGAUACAAACUUUUUUUCAUGCACCAUUUGAUUUCGUGAGUUCCAUAUGACCCAUAAAGCACAGCAAAACACCUGACACUGUUCCUUGGUUCCUUUUUCGAAGACCCAAGGCAUUGUUGGAAGACAUGGAGACUGUUCUCUUCCCCGGAGUCACAUCGAGGGCAUCUCACAUUUGUGGUCAAUCGUUUACAUCGUAGGUUAACUAGUGUAGGAAUAUAGUUCCAGGAUAUCCUCCAUGCCAAAAGUAGAAUUUUUGAUGGAAUUUGUAAACUCCAUAAUUUUCUGUAGAAGUCCUUGAAAUCGGUCUGUAAUAAAUUACUAGGAUCUGGAUUAGCUUCUUAUAAUAGUUUUGUAAGCACUCCGUACUGAAAAUUCUCCAGAUGGUUCUCCCUUCCAAAUGAGCAAGUCUUCGCUGCCUGUUUCUGCGAGUGGGAUCUGUAAAUUUUUUUGCGCAAUGUCCGUUUGAAAGGUUCGAUCCCUGGAAUCCAUCGAUCUGACCAAAUAGAAAUGUUGUUUCCUUUCCCAACUCUCCAACUUAGCCCCUGAAUGAGAAGUCCCUUUGCAGCCCAGAUACUCUUCCAGGUUAGAGAAGGGACCGAAACACAAGAAAUCAAGAAGAAAAAGAUAGACGAAACAAGAAAACCUAAAAAAAACUUGCCAGAGGCUGCAGACAUAAACGUGUUAGGGUAGCAGACCUAGUACUAAAUUUUAAAUAUAACUGUUCAAUAUAAUCAUAUUAUUUGAUAAAAGUAAAUAUUGAUUUUUUUAAAUAUAUUUAUUUGUUAAUUUUAA
Molecule: long non-coding RNA, 941 nt
Organism: Gossypium raimondii (Peruvian cotton)
Lineage: Eukaryota; Viridiplantae; Streptophyta; Magnoliopsida; Malvales; Malvaceae
Exons: 4
Source: RefSeq, a predicted model, not a curated record